AAACUACUAGCUUUUCACCAGGUACGUCUCUAAAACCCUAAACCUAGCCUCCCUCUCUGUUUUUUCCUCUCUCCAAGUACAGAGAGGUAAUCAACAAAGCCGCAUCAACCACGCCGCCGGACUCUCCAACCUCCAAUUUUCAAUAGUAGGGGGGGUGAUAGCUGGUGAAGCUUUAAGAUGGUGCAGUAUAAUUUUAAGAACAUUACUGUAGUUCCAAAUGGGAAGGACUUCAUUGAUAUAAUUUUGUCUCGUACUCAACGGCAAACGCCGACUGUUGUCCAUAAGGGCUAUGCUAUCUCUCGCCUACGCCAAUUUUAUAUGCGUAAAGUGAAGUAUACCCAGACGAACUAUUAUGACAAGCUCUCUACAAUCAUCGACGAGUUUCCUCGUCUUGAUGAUAUCCAUCCUUUUUAUGGAGAUCUUCUUCAUGUGCUCUACAACAAAGAUCACUACAAGCUUGCCCUUGGCCAAAUCAAUACCGCAAGGAAUCUGAUUAGUAAGAUUGCUAAAGAUUAUGUCAGGUUGUUGAAGUAUGGUGAUUCGUUGUACCGAUGCAAGUGUCUCAAGGUUGCUGCUCUUGGUCGCAUGUGCACUGUCAUAAAAAGGGUUGCUCCUAGUUUGGCUUACUUAGAACAGAUCAGACAGCAUAUGGCUAGGCUACCUUCAAUUGAUCCAAAUACUCGGACGGUCUUGAUUUGUGGGUAUCCCAAUGUGGGCAAGAGUUCCUUCAUUAACAAGAUCACUAGAGCUGAUGUGGAUGUCCAGCCCUAUGCUUUCACCACAAAGUCGCUCUUUGUCGGUCAUACAGACUAUAAAUACCUAAGGUAUCAAGUCAUUGAUACACCUGGUAUUUUGGACCGGCCUUUUGAGGAUCGCAAUAUUAUUGAGAUGUGCAGUAUCACAGCUUUGGCACAUCUUCGAGCUGCAGUGUUGUUCUUCUUAGACAUCUCGGGGUCUUGUGGAUAUACCAUUGCACAACAGGCUGCACUUUUUCACAGCAUUAAGUCUCUGUUUAUGAACAAACCUUUGACUAUUGUAUGCAACAAGACUGAUUUGCAACCACUUGAAGGUUUAUCAGAGGAAGAUAUGAAGUUGGUCAUGGAGAUGAAAGCUGAAGCUAUGAAGACGGUGAUUGGUCAAGGAGGUGAGCCUACUGAUGACCAAGGGGUGCUGCUGACCAUGAGUACUUUGACUGAGGAUGGGGUAAUUGCUGUGAAAAAUGCAGCUUGUGAGAGGUUAUUGGAUCAGAGGGUUGAAAUAAAGAUGAAAUCCAAAAAGAUAAAUGAUUGCUUAAAUCGUUUUCAUGUUGCGAUUCCAAAGCCACGGGACCAGAAGGAAAGGCCACCUUGUAUACCUCAGGCAGUUUUGGAAGCUAAAGCGAAGCAAGCAGCAGAGAAGGAAAAGAGGAAAACUGAAAAGGAUUUGGAGAAUGAGAAUGGUGGUGCAGGUGUAUACUCUGCUAGUUUGAAGAAGAAUUAUAUCUUAGCUAAUGAUGAAUGGAAAGAAGAUGUAUUGCCAGAAAUUCUUGAUGGGCACAAUGUAUAUGACUUCAUUGAUCCUGAUAUUUUACAAAGGCUUGAGGAGUUGGAACAAGAAGAAGGGCUAAGGCAGGCAGAGGAAGUUGAUGAUGAUUUUGAGAUGGAUGGCAAGGAAUUGACUCCGGAAGAGCAACAAGCAUUGGCUGAGAUUAGGAAAAAGAAAAGCUUACUCAUUCAGCAGCACAGGAUCAAGAAAAGCACUGCAGAGAGCCGGCCUAUUGUACCAAGAAAAUUUGACAAGGACAAGCAGUUCACAACCAGGAGAAUGGGAAGGCAGCUAUCUGCUUUGGGGCUGGAUCCAUCUAAGGCCAUUGAUCGAGCCCGUAGUAGGUCGAGGGGUCGGAAGAGGGAGAGGUCACCUGAUAAUGAUGGUGGUGAUGCUAUGGAUAUGGAUGUGGACACACCUAACAAGAGGCUGCGAAUGAGGUCUAGAUCCCGAUCAAGGUCAGUCUCACGGCCACCGGGUGAACUUGUCCCUGGAGAGGGCUUCAGGGACUCCGCUCAAAAGGUUAAGGCACAAAAGCUGGCAAAGAAAUCUUCCAAGAAGAGGAACAAGGAUGCACGUCGUGGUGAGGCAGAUAGGGUAAUACCUACUUUGAAACCAAAGCAUUUGUUCUCUGGGAAGCGGUCCAGCGGAAAAACUGAUAGACGUUGAUUUACUAGAGGGCAUGUUGGUUCAUGGUUCGUGGGGACAGAAUUCCUUGGGUUUACUUGCAGUCAAGAAAGAAUUUUGUUCGAUCAAUUCUUUGGUUUGGCUGUAGGUUGCACACUUCUUGACCAUGGCAGCAUAUCAGCAGAUUUUUGUUAUCUUCUUUGUUUUUUGCAUAAUGUUGAGGCAAUUUUGAGUUUGAGAAACGAUUUAAAUUAUAAUUUUUCCUAAGCGACUAGAGCGUGACUUCAUAUUAAAUUUUUUGGUUGGUUUUUUCUCUUAAUCUGGUAAUGUGUACUAGUUCACAGAUGAAUUUGGCUUAAUUGCUGUUUGUUAGAUACUCCCAAGACCUAAUUCAAAUUAUGUUUUCAUUGAUGACCGUUUUGAAACAA
This is an RNA transcript of Quercus robur (English oak), 2579 nucleotides long. It is a transcript of the gene named nucleolar GTP-binding protein 1-like, with no coding region annotated. The transcript is spliced from 4 exons. Lineage: Eukaryota; Viridiplantae; Streptophyta; Magnoliopsida; Fagales; Fagaceae. The record is from RefSeq and is a predicted model, not a curated record.